CCUGCCCACCGCCAACUGUCGACUAAGCAGUCUAGUCCAGGCUGCAGUGUGCAGCAACUGAAAUGGGGGGCUUGGCCCCGUGCCACCUGUACUAGUCAAAAUUAGCUCAUUGUUGAAUGCAAGUUAGUCGCCAAGUGGGCGCUUUGGCAGCGGCUCGCUGGCCGGCUCUCCGUGCAGCUUUCCGCGGGGAGCGGUCUCCUGCCACGGCGGCUGCUGGGGCUCAGCUCGCUAGCUGACGUUACUCACAGCGGCGGCGGCAGCAGCAAUUUCAGAGCCGCCUGCUGGGUCGCUGGCUGUGCGGGUCUGCAGUCUGAAACUUCGGGUGAAAGAGGACAACGAGAGGCUUCUUCUGGCAGCAGUGUCCUCUUCCCUAAUCCACUGCAGUGCAAGAGCUGUUGUUUGUGCAGACAAUCAUCAUGGAUCAUGGUUCCGGCUUCUGAAUCAAACUAGCAGGAGCCAUGGAGGAUCCCCUGAGGGUUGGCAGCUGGCACCCUGUGCUGACCAGGGUGAGGGGGAGCUGCGGAGAGAAAUCAACAUUCCUUCCGCCUGAUGUGGGAUAGCGAUGGUCUCUCCAUUAACCCUGUAGGAGGGGGCGGGGGGUGGGAUCUCCCUGUGUAAUUUUUUUUUGUUUGUUUGUUUGUUUCCUAAAAUCGUGUAUAUCCUCUUUUUUAUGGUAUGUGGUAAAGAUGAAUUAUGACUCUUGGGGACGAGUUUUUCCCCAGUCUGUGUGAUUUAAUAUGUUAGAAAUGCUUGGGACUCUAAGCCUUGAUGAUAAGUUCAUGUUCUUUUGGAGGAGCCGGAGUAAUGCCAAAUGACACAAAGCACCUUGCGACAGACCUGACAGAUUGGAGCUGUGAAGACCCACACGUCUGCGUUUUUUACAACUUCCACAGGUGGCCCCGUCACUCGGGGCCGAGAAAACUGAGAAUACUUGCAGCAGCAGCAUGUCAUCCACUUGUCCACUUCCCCACGAAGUAGGAUGGAUCCUUUUUUCAGCGUUUGUACCGUUGCGUUUUGUUUUUAGUUCUUAUGUUGUUUUAUCUCUGUGGACCCACCAAAGACGUUUGACUUCUUCUUCUUCUUACCUGCCCCCCACCAGUUUCUCAGUCUGUCCUAAACAUUACGGGCAAAUUCUAUAAAUAUAUAUAGUGGUAAAAUAUGUUCACAAGGAAAAUACUACUCUCACAGAUUCACACACCUUCUCUCCAUUCUCAGUGCACAUCCCUACAGCACCUGGAUUUCAUCAUAUUACAGUAGUCAGUCCCUCUGAUCCUCCACCUUCAUUUUCUGUUCUAUCCAUGCCUUUCCACACUACAGCAACUGAUCUGUCUCUACAAACUAAACUGCUGAAACAAUCAAUGCUAUACUCUCACACUCUGCAGUAUUUACUGAGGCUAAGAGUCCCCGAUUUCCAUGCAGUUACUAGACGCUUCGUAGUAAGUAGUACAUAGAGUUUUUUUGUUUUCCGUUGUUUUUGUUUUUUAAAACCUGGCUUUGUUUUAAAGUUUUAGCUUCUUUUUGUUACUUUUGCUUUGCCAGUAUAUUAAAGUGUAAUCAUGUGCGUUGUGAUAUAGAAGUAGCUGUAGAAAAUGCAUCGUUUCCUUGUGGUAAGUGAUUGAGAUGCUGCCACGGAUUUGAGACACUGAUGAAUGGUGCUAUUUUGGACUUUAAUCUGCUCCCUGGUAAGGUAGCUAAGAUGGGUUUUUAUUUCAUAUUUUCACGUUCAGAGAUGUGAGAGGUGUUGGUUCUUCGUCGUGUGGUUAUAUCGUAGCUUGGUCUGGAUGGACUAUAUUUUUUCCCCCUCCUUGUUGUUUCUGUGCGGCUUUCUCAUUGGAUUAAAACGACGGACAUUUAGCUAAAGAGCACGAGGGUGUUUUCUUUUGAGGAGAAAAUCUCAUGCAAAAAAAAAAAAAGUAAAAAAAAAAUCAGAGAAAAGUAAAGACAGCGGGAGCAAUCACAAAACUGCAAUCAAACAACGAUGACACAAUUUUCCCUUUAAGGACGAGUUUUGACUGUGCGAUGGGGUAGUUAGUCAUUUUUGGCAAUAGCUGAACAGCCAACCAUCUGUGAGCUCUUCUUCCUCCUUGAUGUAGUGGAGUCAAGGAUCCUCCGCCUCUAGGAAUGUAUUUUGCACAGUUGAUUAGCAAUUAAUUACUUCUAGUACAAUCUAGUACACAGGAAAUGACGAGGUGAAAUCAGAAAAGAUCUGGCAGCAUGCGUAGAUGUUGCUGGUUUGAUUUUCUUUGCCUAGUUCUGAUGGAAGGAGCUGGUUGUGAGUGUGGGAGAGUGAUUUGAUUCCUCUUUGAGGCAUCUUGUAUUUUUUUUUUUCUUGCUUUUAGUGAAUAACGCUUGUUUACCCAGGGAAACAGCAAUGUCUGUUGCUUCUACCUGAGGGUUAUUCUGCCACGCAAGAGGCGUCAGUUAGUUGUAUGACUUGGUCGUCCAAAACCGUGGCGUGUAAGGCCUUAAAAGUAGUUUAUUUGCGUGAAAAUGCAAAUAAUUAUCUUGUAUAGCUAGCAUUGAAGCAGUCAGGGCAAUACCGUUGGCACUUACAGACGCUAUGGGUGCUUCCCAGUUGCAUACUUAUUGCUACAACUAACUGGUAUCCGAACCAGUGAAGUAUGCAGCAUAGAUAAAAAACUCUAGAAGUUUAGUAUACUCAAAAAACGUUAAAUACAGCUGGAGAACUUCUUGUUAGUACAGAACAGGCUAGUAUGUUAAUAUUUUGUGUACUAUCCUGACAAACGUUAGUGUCUAGUAUGCAAUUGGGACACAGCCUAAAGGCCAUUUUCUGCUGACAUAUUCUGAUGCACACCUCUCUGGAAAUGUAAUGUAAUGUCUACAAGUUGCGCGAUGAAACAUGCGAAUGCAAAAGUAUAAACGUGCACAGCAGCGUAGGGCGCUCGCACAGGCUGCACCACAGACUAGGUUUUAACAGCAACAGAAACGUACGAACACAUGUUGAGUAUAAACAGCAAGGCAAUGCAUUAAAAAAGAGCGCUCUGCACUGAUUGGGCAGUGGAGCCGUGCAUCUAACUGAGAGCCCUGUUUGUUUUGGUGGAAUGACCCCCAUGGAUAGGUUGGUUCAGGGUUACCAAUCUGCUGCAUUACUACUCUUCACCAGCUGGCAGUUACUCAAAGCUUCUUGGGGUCCUACAUGGCCUCGGGCCCGAGACCCUGCCACUCAGUACCCACAAUCCCAUCAUGCUCUUUUAUUUCUCCAAGCUUAAAGAAGUAAUAACAAUGUAGCACUUAUGAAUGAUGAUCUUGUUGACAUUUUCCAACAGAAGAGUGAGUGAGUGAGUUAUAAAAAUAAAAUAAAAAGCUUUAUAUCUCUUAUUUUUAGUAGUUAAGUUCAGUAGCCACGUACUGUCAUGCAGUAUUUUGCAGUUUUGUCUUUGCUUCCAGUUUAACAUUAUAUAUAUAUAUAUAUAUAUAUACUUUUGAACAAUCCUUAUUCAAUGACCAACUUGAAAGCCCACAUUAGUUUCUGUCUUCCAUUUAUUUUCCACUAUAGUGGAGUCCUUCCCAGCUUGCUCUAGAUCUUCCCUAGUGCUGAUGGCCUAUCAACAGCAUGCUUUCCGCUUUUCGUUUUUUUUCCCUCCAUCUUGAUACUAAUUCUAUUUGCGUUUCCUCACAUAGACUAGAUAUGCCAGCUGUGUUGUAAAUAGCGAGUAGCUUAGGCGGGGUCUGAUGAUGUAGUAUGUUGAGAUACUAUGUAAUAACUAUUGGUGUGUUUUAAAAUAAAAGAGUAAGCUUGUGAUUGAUAAUGAUGCACUAUGUAUUGUACAAGUAUUUUUUGGCAAUUUAACCAGUAGUUAAAUAAAUAUGCAAGCUGUCAAA
Long non-coding RNA from Astyanax mexicanus (Mexican tetra), 3843 nucleotides. RefSeq lists it as uncharacterized. The record is from RefSeq and is a predicted model, not a curated record. The transcript is spliced from 4 exons. Lineage: Eukaryota; Metazoa; Chordata; Actinopteri; Characiformes; Acestrorhamphidae.